GAUCCUGGCUCAGGAUGAACGCUAGCGACAGGCUUAACACAUGCAAGUCGAGGGGCAGCGGGGAGUAGCAAUACUUCGCCGGCGACCGGCGCACGGGUGAGUAACACGUGUGCAACCAACCCCGUACCGGGAGAUAACCCGCGGAAACGUGGACUAACAUCCCAUAAUACUGGAGGAUAGCAUGAUCUUUCAUUUAAAAUUCCGGUGGUACGGGACGGGCACGCGCGACAUUAGGUAGUUGGCGGGGUAACGGCCCACCAAGCCG
RNAcentral lists this ribosomal RNA (265 nucleotides) under uncultured bacterium. RNAcentral's name for it is "partial 16S ribosomal RNA". It matches the Rfam family "Bacterial small subunit ribosomal RNA", at positions 15 to 275 of the family's 1533-position model. The record is from RNAcentral.